CUUAAAUAUUUAGCCUUUUCAUCAUUUUUCAAUUAUUUUUUGUUGUUUCUUUCUAAAAGCAGUGAUUUUCAGCAAGUUACUUUGAAUAAAACAGAAAUAAAUUUCCAAAAAGAUAAAACACAUAUGUGAAACUGCCUGUAAGUUUAUUUUGGAUAAUUUUGAGUGACACUAUCAAAUAAUAGAUAAUUCAUUGUCAAAAUUAAUUUUACUAAAAUAGUGAUUUAUCAUUAAUGAGUAAAUCUGAUUUAUCCUUCAGAUGUAUAAUCUAUUACCAGUAGGUACUUUAUUUGUUAAUCUUAGAACUCGUACAUGCCAUGACCGAAGCUUAUCUAGAGAUGCUGUGGAUGCCAUUUAUUUGACGUUGUGGCAGGAAAUAUUUUUGGCGGCAUAUCCCAUAACGGUACAUGAAAUCAAGCCCUCACUUUCUCUCACUCGCAUCUACCUCUUGCACCAGGAAGUUCAAUUCAUUGAAAGCAGAGAGAGAAGCUAUGAAGUUAAACUCAUCGAAAGACGCGACGGGAGAAAGAUAGUUAGGGCUUCUUUGAUAACCGGAAGCAAGUUCAUCAACGGCCCUUAUUAGAGUUUGUGCGUGUUGGGAGGGGAAGGAGAGAGAAUCAAGUAUUAAUCGAGAAUCAAGCAAUCGUAGAGAGUACGAGCCACAAGAAUCAAAUGAAACGUAGAGAGAGAGAGUCGACCACAAUGAAAUGAAACGUAAAGAGGACGACGACAAAGUCCGCUAUCCUAUGUGUAGAGAGAGAAUGAACGUCGCUCAUCGUCCACAGUGUAGAGAGAGAGGAAGAUGACACUGCUUGUCCAUGCUUUAGAGAGAGAAAACAUCUCCAAUUCCUGAUGAAGAGAAAGAGAGAGAGAAAGAGAGGGGGUGCCACGAUGCUCAAUCCAUCGACAUGUGGAAACUUGGGGACUAAGAUUUGUUUCUCUCUCUACAACCAACGUGGCCCUGAAGGAAACACUUAUCUAUAACCCAACCGUAGCUUCUCUCUCACUCUUAAACCCUUUCUCACUCCAAAACUCAUGUCCCCUUCUCCUAAAGCUUUUCUUUGUUUCUCACUCGUAAGACCCGUGCUUUCCAACAAUUCUUCGAGCUCUCUCUCACUCUAAAACCUCAAAUACUCUACAACCCAUGCGCUCCAACAAUUAAUUCUUCGAAGACUUGUUUCUCUCUCUAAAACCCAUAUCCCCUAUCCAUUCUCCAACCUUUUUACUUGUCAAUACCCGAGUAGCUCUUUCUCAGUUUUAAAGCCCAAUCUCUUGAUUCUUUGUGUUAAAUAUAGCUUUGCCAGUCUUCUUUAACCAACAGUUUCUCUCUCUAAAACCUCAUAUAUUUUUUGGUUCUAUGGUGGCCAUGGAGGAAGAUUCCUGCAAACCAAACCUGGUUUUGAACUUGGGGUCAGGAUUGUACGAGUUGCAGAGGAGAGAGGGCAGAGGAAAAGAAGAGGAGGUUUUGAGCAGCACAAGGAAGAAGCUGAGGCUCUCCAAGGAACAAACUGGACUUCUCGAACACAGUUUCAUGUCCCAAAGUACCCUUAAUCCGGUGUGUUUACAUCCCCUCUCACUCUCUUCUCUCUCUCUCUCUCUCUC
Molecule: non-coding RNA, 1599 nt
Organism: Amborella trichopoda
Lineage: Eukaryota; Viridiplantae; Streptophyta; Magnoliopsida; Amborellales; Amborellaceae
Source: RefSeq, a predicted model, not a curated record